UCUCCAACCUGCUCUGACAGAAAGAGGGAACACUUACCCGAGGUUAAUUCUUUCCACAGCUGGCUGGAUGUGGUCAGGUAUUGCGGUCAGGUAUCUGAAGGUGCAGUGCACUUCGGUGGGAACGUAGCAGACGCAGGAUUUGGGGCAGUCGGCGCUGGACGGCACCACAGCGGCCAGAAACAACAGAACCUCCAGCAACCACCUCCACAGAUACAGACAAGGCCAUGUCAUGCGGUGCUGUCUGCCUCGUGGACGGAUGCGCUGCCGGCCUUUGCAGGGAUUUGGGUUUGGUACAAGUUUUGGAGAAAGAAGGAGCCAGUUUUCUUGUUGCACGAGACACAAAUAAGGCUAGUCGACACGAGGCGAGAAAGGGACAUUGCAUCCUUUUUUGCCCCAAAUACAAAAGUGAAAGCAGCAAGGUCACGUCAAGGUGUGGAGAGAGCUGAGGAGCAGGAAGAGGGAGAGCCAGAGGAGUUGGAGCAGGAGGAUUGUCACAGAGAGGGACGUUCCAGAGGAUGAGAAUGAGGAAAACAUACAGGGACAGAGAGAGGAACAACCAGAAGGACAGCAAGGGGAUCAAUGUGGAUCAGAUAUUAGGAAGUCCAGGAAUGAUGUACAACUCCUAAGUAUAGAAUCUACAAGGGCCAAGGCCUUGGAUCUUAAUGUACAGUAUUUGAGGAUCAGUUUGCCAGACAGCACAACCGUAUCCUGUUGCUGUAGUGCUAGGAUUUUGAAUGACAGGAAACCAAACCACUUUUGUAACGUGACUGAUUUCAAAUGUUGCUUUUGUUAAACAUUUCAACAGCUGCCAUGAUAACCUCAUUGUUUCAGUUGAUGCAUUUUUUGUGGAAAACAUAAAUAACUGUUUAUUGGAUUUUAAUAUAAAAUAAAAUAAAAGUUUUUGGUGCUUGGA
Amphiprion ocellaris (clown anemonefish) is the source of this 913-nucleotide long non-coding RNA. RefSeq lists it as uncharacterized. NCBI's taxonomy places the organism in Eukaryota, Metazoa, Chordata, Actinopteri, Pomacentridae. The transcript has 5 exons. The record is from RefSeq and is a predicted model, not a curated record.